Long non-coding RNA from Seriola aureovittata, 974 nucleotides. RefSeq lists it as uncharacterized. The record is from RefSeq and is a predicted model, not a curated record. The transcript has 3 exons. Lineage: Eukaryota; Metazoa; Chordata; Actinopteri; Carangiformes; Carangidae.
GCUGGUGUUAGCAUUUUGUCGUGCCUGCCUGGUUUAUCCCACCAGAUGGUGCUGUCAAGCUAUCAUUGGAUCCCAGUGUCACCUGUUGUCUGCAAACACCAUCUCUCCUGCUCUGGCACAGCCUCCGGUUUCUCUGACUUAUUCUGCAACAAGAUGUUUCUGGAGCUGAAUCACCCCUGUCAAGAACCACCUGGAAUUCACAGAUAAAUCUCGCAAGGAGCUCCUGUGCGUGACCGGUUGAUGGCAGAGUGAUGUUCCUUCCACUUAUGGAUAAUGGCCCCAAUGGUGCUUUCUGGAACAAUUAGGAGUUGCAAAAUCCAGCGUGCUGUUAUGUAGCACAACAAUCUUGUUGCGAUGGUCUUGGGAAUGGUCUUUGCCGCUACACAUCAUGAUGUUUCUUGUGUGAUGGCUUGUUAACAAAUAAUUUAUUAAAUUGCAUUCAGAGGUGGAUAAGCCUUUUUUCUAACUCAGCAACAUGAAGUAACUCAUCUGGUUCUAAUUUGUGCAGGUACUUUGCCUUUUGUGUACUGCUUUUUCUAAGUGUCAACGUGUGUUGAGUGUUGUAAUUUCACUUUAUUAAACAUACGUUUAUUUAUGGAUUGUAAUAUUAUGAUUUCUUUGUGUGUGAAUUACUGAAAUUUAUGCCAAUGUCUUGUACAGGUUUCAUGAAUUGCUGUAUUGGAACUCUUUAAUAGUAAUUAAAAAAAAAAAAAAAAAGAAAAAGUUGACAUUUUGAAUACUUAUUUCUCCCACUGUACACUGCCAGUGAAUAAAAGGCAAAGUGAGAGACAUAAAAAGAAGAGCGUGUGUGGUCUAUGCGUGCUUCUUCAUGCAUGUUCGUUGUGUAUAAAGUUGUUUGUUGCAUAUUUUGUAGCUUGUCACCAGCUGGUCGACUAACCCCACUCUACUAUAAAUCUUACCUACGUACAGUAAAUCUGUCUUGUAACGUUUAAUGAAAGACUAGGUACCACUAA